GGCCUCUCAGCUGAUUAUUUUGGUUCCCCUUUGAUGUUGCUUCAGCCAUCGAGGGUGCGUUCAGGUGUGCAUCUACAUUCGUUGAUGUUCUGUUUCUUUGGGGGCUGCAGAAAUUCUCGAUGAUGUUUGUAUGCCACAUGGGUUGUGCUGUAUGCACUAGUAUUGUCUGAGUUGAAGUAUACUAGUAUUUGUUGUGCAGGUUUGAAUUUCCAAAAAAGAGGGAAGGUCAUGACAAAAAUUUCAGUACUCCCUAGCAUGGUUUUAAAGGCGCCAAGGCGUCCUAAGGCGAAGGGGGGCGCUCUGACGCUUAGGCGACGCCUAGGCGGACGCUUUGGACGCCUAGGCGCCUAAGGCGGGUGUUUUUCUAAGGCGGAGGGGGAGCGCUUGGACGCUUAGGCGUCCCUAAGGCGACGCCUUUAAAACCAUGCUCCCUAGCUGUUGUCUUUAGUUGGUAUAUAUUCCUUAGUUGCUAUUUCGUCCUAGUGGUUUGGGCCAGAAUUUCAGCUUGGCCCAGCUCUAAUUUUCAUCCAAAAUAUUUGAAACCAUCGGACAUGACAGCAGCAGCGGGAAAGCGAUGGCAGCUGUGGUUGCAAGGGGCAUCAGCAGCGCGAGGAAGUAGCAGUGGCUGUAGGAGGCGAGGAUGAUGCUUGCAUAUCAAACUGUUAUUUUCUUUGUACUAGACGCUAUGGAGUGGCGCUGCUAUGGUUUGAUUCUGAUUUGAACUGUCAUUUUCUUAUACCAGGACUGAUUGCAUGAACUUCCAUGCUGUGCAUCUUACUUUGGCUGGACAUUCACUGUUAAAUUGUGUGGAGUUUGUGUUUAGUUAAGGCCUCUGAUCGAGUUAUCAUGUUUGGUUGGACUAGUGAGUCGAGUUUGGAUGCAUAAAUAGGCGUGUCAUGUGCCACUUACUGUUCUGUUAUCUGAAUUAUGGUCUGGCUGUGCAAAAGAAUAACAAGGUCAUGGCAAAUUUUUCAACACAAUUGCUGAUUAAAGUUGCAUCGGUUACUUAGGUGAACGAAAUAAUAUUGUUUCUUGAAUAAAUCUGCUGAUGUAGAGCUGACCACCAUCAUGUGGUUUUUUCUUGUUUUGCGAGGAUAUAACCAGUAAGUGGACAUGCACGUUGGGCGGGUAGCAGGUGGUACACCUGUCGCAGCGCUGCGGCAGCCCUGCGGAAGCCGGUUGACUAUUGAGUGCGACCUACCUGGGUCAAGCAGGGCGAGUCGGGCAUCGCCAGGGGACAGCGGCGCUGUUUCUCUUGUGGCGUGGCGAUGUCUGGAGUGGCUGGAGCUGGGCGAAGGGAGCAGCUCUGCUUCACCUUUGCCUUCGCUGACGUGAGACGGCGGUGAGUUCAACACGCCGCUACCGUGGAAGUGGUGGCCUCUCAGGAUAGAUAUAACCAGUAAGUGGACAUGCACGGUGGGCGGGUAGCAGGUGGUACACCUGUCGCAGCGCUGCGGCUGCCCUGCGGAAGCCGGUUGACUAUU
Lolium rigidum is the source of this 1484-nucleotide long non-coding RNA. RefSeq lists it as uncharacterized. The transcript is spliced from 4 exons. Lineage: Eukaryota; Viridiplantae; Streptophyta; Magnoliopsida; Poales; Poaceae. The record is from RefSeq and is a predicted model, not a curated record.